This 76-nucleotide small RNA is filed under the name Xanthomonas euvesicatoria. RNAcentral's name for it is "sX9 sRNA". It matches the Rfam family "Xanthomonas sRNA sX9". Lineage: Bacteria; Pseudomonadati; Pseudomonadota; Gammaproteobacteria; Lysobacterales; Lysobacteraceae. The record is from RNAcentral. RNAcentral also lists the same sequence under 2 other names.
AUGUACCACUCGUACAAUCCGGUUCCUGCGCGCCGUCCGCGCCCACCUGACAGCUGCUCGCUACGUCUUGUUAGCC